UAGGAAUCUUCCACAAUGGACGCAAGUCUGAUGGAGCAACGCCGCGUGAGUGAAGAAGGUUUUCGGACCGUAAAGCUCUGUUGUUGGUGAAGAAGGAUAGAGGUAGUAACUGGCCUUUAUUUGACGGUAAUCAACCAGAAAGUCACGGCUAACUACGUGCCAGCAGCCGCGGUAAAUCGUAGGUGGCAAGCGUUGUCCGGAUUUAUUGGGCGUAAAGCGAGCGCAGGCGGAAGAAUAAGUCUGAUGUGAAAGCCCUCGGCUUAACCGAGGAAUUGCAUCGGAAACUGUUUUCUUGAGUGCAGAAGAGGAGAGUAGAACUCCAUGUGUAGCGGUGGAAUGCGUAGAUAUAUGGAAGAAUACCAGUGGCGAAGGCGGCUCUCUGGUCUGCAACUGACGCUGAGGCUCGAAAGCAUGGGUAGCGAACAGGAUUAGAUACCCUGGUAGUCCAUGCCGUAAACGAUGAGUGCUAAGUGUUGGGAGGCUUCCGCCUCUCAGUGCUGCAGCUAACGCAUUAAGCACUCCGCCUGGGGGAGUACGACCGCAAGGUUGAAAC
This 553-nucleotide ribosomal RNA is filed under the name uncultured bacterium. Its description in RNAcentral is "partial 16S ribosomal RNA". It matches the Rfam family "Bacterial small subunit ribosomal RNA", at positions 356 to 900 of the family's 1533-position model. The record is from RNAcentral.